CGGGGAGUAGCGCAGCUUGGUUAGCGCGCCUGCUUUGGGAGCAGGAGGCCGCGGGUUCGAAUCCCGCCUCCCCGACCA
RNAcentral lists this transfer RNA (78 nucleotides) under Actinomycetota bacterium. RNAcentral describes it as "tRNA-Pro". It matches the Rfam family "tRNA". Rfam says of the family: Transfer RNA (tRNA) molecules are approximately 80 nucleotides in length. Their secondary structure includes four short double-helical elements and three loops (D, anti-codon, and T loops). The record is from RNAcentral. Lineage: Bacteria; Bacillati; Actinomycetota.